CCGACGAGUCCUUUGGGACGAAGUGACUGACACCACGCUUCCAGGAAAAGCCACUAAGCUUCAGCUGUAGAAAAACCGUACCGCAAACCGACACAGGUAGGCAGGGUGAGAAUCCCAAGGCGCUUGAGAGAACUCGGGUGAAGGAACUAGGCAAAAUGGCACCGUAACUUCGGGAGAAGGUGCGCCUCUUGGUGUGGUCACGUGCGUGACUGAGCAUCGAGGGGUCGCAGUAACCUGGCCGCUGCGACUGUUUAUCAAAAACACAGCACUCUGCAAACACGAAAGUGGACGUAUAGGGUGUGACGCCUGCCCGGUGCUGGAAGGUUAAUUGAUGGGGUCAGCCGCAAGGCGAAGCUCUUGAUCGAAGCCCCAGUAAACGGCGGCCGUAACUAUAACGGUCCUAAGGUAGCGAAAUUCCUUGUCGGGUAAGUUCCGACCUGCACGAAUGGCGUAACGACAGCGGCGCUGUCUCCACCCGAGACUCAGUGAAAUUGAAAUCGCUGUGAAGAUGCAGCGUUCCCGCGGCAAGACGGAAAGACCCCGUGAACCUUUACUAUAGCUUUACACUGAACGUUGAGUUCUUCUGUGUAGGAUAGGUGGGAGGCUAUGAAACCAGGACGCUAGUUCUGGUGGAGCCAUCCUUGAAAUACCACCCUGAAGUGCUUGACGUUCUAACCUAGGUCCGUAAUCCGGAUCGGGGACCGUGUAUGGUGGGUAGUUUGACUGGGGCGGUCUCCUCCCAAAGAGUAACGGAGGAGCACGAAGGUACGCUCAGCGCGGUCGGACAUCGCGCACUGUGUGCAAAGGCAUAAGCGUGCUUGACUGCGAGAUCGACGGAUCAAGCAGGUACGAAAGUAGGUCUUAGUGAUCCGGUGGUUCUGUAUGGAAGGGCCAUCGCUCAACGGAUAAAAGGUACUCCGGGGAUAACAGGCUGAUACCGCCCAAGAGUUCAUAUCGACGGCGGUGUUUGGCACCUCGAUGUCGGCUCAUCACAUCCUGGGGCUGUAGCCGGUCCCAAGGGUAUGGCUGUUCGCCAUUUAAAGUGGUACGCGAGCUGGGUUCAGAACGUCGUGAGACAGUUCGGUCCCUAUCUGUCGUGGGCGUUGGAGAUUUGAGGGGGGCUGCUCCUAGUACGAGAGGACCGGAGUGGACGUUCCGCUGGUGUUCGGGUUGUCAUGCCCAUGGCAUUGCCCGGUAGCUACGAACGGAAGUGAUAACCGCUGAAAGCAUCUAAGCGGGAAGCACGCCCCAAGAUGAGAUCUCCCGAGAGCUUGACUCUCCUAAAGGCACCAUCAAGACUAGGUGGUUGAUAGGCACGGUGUGGAAGUGCAGCAAUGCAUUGAGCUUACGUGUACUAAUGAGCCGUGAGGCUUGACCAU
RNAcentral lists this ribosomal RNA (1379 nucleotides) under metagenome. RNAcentral describes it as "bacterial LSU rRNA". It matches the Rfam family "Bacterial large subunit ribosomal RNA", at positions 1566 to 2925 of the family's 2925-position model. The record is from RNAcentral.